RNAcentral lists this ribosomal RNA (478 nucleotides) under uncultured bacterium. Its description in RNAcentral is "partial 16S ribosomal RNA". It matches the Rfam family "Bacterial small subunit ribosomal RNA", at positions 30 to 523 of the family's 1533-position model. The record is from RNAcentral.
AUUGAACGCUGACAGAAUGCUUAACACAUGCAAGUCUACUUGAUUCUACUUCGGUAGUUGAUGGUGGCGGACGGGUGAGUAACGCGUAAAGAAUCUGCCCUUUAGUUCGGGAUAACCUUUGGAAACGAAGGAUAAUACCGGAUAUUAUGGAGACGUCGCAUGACGAUUUCAUGAAAGCUAUAUGCGCUAGAGGAGGACUUUGCGUCCCAUUAGUUAGUUGGUGAGGUAAUGGCUCACCAAGACCGCGAUGGGUAGCCGGCCUGAGAGGGUGAUCGGCCACAAGGGAACUGAGACACGGUCCUUACUCCUACGGGAGGCAGCAGUGGGGAAUAUUGGACAAUGGGCCACAAGCCUGAUCCAGCAAUUCUGUGUGCACGAUGAAGGUCUUCGGAUUGUAAAGUGCUUUCAGUAGGGAAGAAAAAAAUGACGGUACCUACAGAAGAAGCGACGGCUAAAUAUGUGCCAGCAGCCGCAGUAA